RNAcentral lists this ribosomal RNA (253 nucleotides) under uncultured bacterium. RNAcentral describes it as "partial 16S ribosomal RNA". It matches the Rfam family "Bacterial small subunit ribosomal RNA", at positions 524 to 776 of the family's 1533-position model. The record is from RNAcentral.
GACAGAGGGUGCAAACGUUGCUCGGAAUUACUGGGCGUAAAGCGCGUGUAGGCGGACCGAUAAGUCAGGCGUGAAAUCCCCGAGCUCAACUCGGGAACUGCACCUGAAACUGCCGGUCUAGAGUGAUGGAGAGGGUAGCGGAAUUCCUGGUGUAGAAGUGAAAUUCGUAGAUAUCAGGAGGAACACCGGUGGCGAAGGCGACUACCUGGACAUUAACUGACGCUGAGACGCGAAAGCGUGGGGAGCAAACAGG